Molecule: unclassified non-coding RNA, 240 nt
Filed under: soil metagenome
Description: partial contains 5.8S ribosomal RNA, internal transcribed spacer 2, and large subunit ribosomal RNA
Source: RNAcentral
AACAUCGCGCACCUGCGGGAACCUGCGGAGGGAUCAUUAAUGAUUGGUGGCUGUUGCUGACUAGUGUUUCUAGUAUGUGCACGCCACACCUUCAAUCCCACUUACACCUGUGCACCUUCUGUAAUAAAUCUAUGUGGAUACGGAGAUAUGAAAGUUUGCGCUCUCGUACUCUGUUGAAGCAGUCUACUACGUUUUUUUACACACACACAAUAGUCAUUGAAUGUAUUUUUUAUUCUUAUG